This is a long non-coding RNA of Sus scrofa (pig), 3535 nucleotides long. RefSeq lists it as uncharacterized. NCBI's taxonomy places the organism in Eukaryota, Metazoa, Chordata, Mammalia, Artiodactyla, Suidae. The record is from RefSeq and is a predicted model, not a curated record.
CUGAGCUGUGUCUGCUAUCUACACCACAGCUCAAGGCAACACUGGAUCCUCAACCCACUGAGCUAGGCCAGGGAUUGAACCCACAUCCUUACUGAGCCAUGAUGGGAACUCCAAUAAUGGCUACAUUAAAACUCUUAUCUGCAGAUUCCAUUCUCUGGGCCAUCUAGGGGUUGGUUAAUGUCUAUUAUGUUUUCUCUUGGAGAAAAAUGUAGGAAUCACAUUUCUUUGUGUGUUGAAUUUUGGAUUCCAUCCUGGACAUUGAGAACAAUACACUGCAGAAACUCUGAACUUUAUUAUGUUCCUUUAAAGAGUUUUCAGAUAAUAUGACUGAACUCAAAUUGCAAACUUUAUCUUCCCUGACAAGAGCAUCAACUAAAAUCUUAGUUUAUUUCUUCUAGUCUUAGCUGAAAUGCUUGGUGUCUGUCCCAUGCAUUCUUAGUACAAAUAUCAGGCAGAGAUUUGGAUAGAGUUUAUAUAUAGAAUGUGGGCCUUCCUAUUUCUGGUUCUCUCCUUUCUGAAAGGUCUUCCAUUUUCUAGCUGCUGUGGUCACCCACAACUGUGUCUUCUAGAUCUUCAGCUCAGUAAUACUGAGUUUCUAUUUGAGUUUGAGCCUGUUUAGCACAGCUCUCUGUAGGGGCCUGCUUUACAAAAAGGCCAACGGCUGUAAAAAAAAAAAAAAGGGAAUUUCAUCCAAUGCCAUUCUCUUCUACAAAGCAUUGCCCCACAUUUAGUACCUGCUUGCUUUCAGUUUUUCCACUUUUUGUUUAUACUUUUUAAGAAUUAUAUUUUCUCAAUAAUUUAAUUUUUAUCUGCAGAAAGGUUGGUUUAAUAUGAACUCCUGGGCCAUUAUUGGAAGUGGAACCUGUGUAAUUUUCUUUAAUCUAGCAUUCCCUAAAGAGAUUCUUCAUUUGGUAGAAUCUUAUUGGUAUAUCAUAGGCCUUAGUAUUUCACAGAACUCAUGUUGAGAAAUGCUAUUCUAAGAUUUCCUAUCCUGGGAAACUUUAAAAAAUGGUGAUAAAAUUAACAGAUUAGACCGUUAAAAAGCAAAAUGGGUUUUGAGGGAAAGACGAUGGAAAUGAACUUGAGAAAGGCAUUAAAAAUGCAAUCUUUCUCUUAAUAUUCUUGAAGGAAUGUUCUAUGAGGAAGCAUGGUAGUUUUUCCAUCAUAAUGCUCUCAAAAAUCAGGGAUGUACCCUCCAGGUACUUAAUUCCUCUUGAUCUAUUAGGCGGCUGAAGUCCACGAAUUUUUCUCAACCUUUCUUAAACCUGUUUAUAUUGUCAACUAUUAUUUAGGGUCACAGUUAAAAAGAAAACAAAAUGCUAACUUGGGAGAAUUAAGGCCCACAAUUUUGUUUUACUUGAAGUCCUUAGACCCAAAGGUUAAAAGCAGGCCAUAAUGGAUCUACACAAAGAAAUAAAUAAUGCCAACUACUAUAUAGAAUCCAAAUACUAUAUAGAAUCCAAACAACAAAAAUUCUCAAAUAAUUACCAUUUUUUUCUGGCCUCUUAUCUUAUUAGAGAAGGCAAUUAAAUAAUUUGAUAUUAGAAUAUGACAUAGGACCCAUAUAGUUGCAGCUUAACCUUCUAUUUUUAACUAUAAUGGAUAUGGAAGUAAUAAGAUAAAACCAACCCAUGGCUGCUGUUUAGAAAAAUAAAAAUAAAGACAAAGUGCUUUUUAGAUCACAAUAGAAGAUUAAGGUAUUUGCAUUGUGAUUUUACUGUCAAGUAAAUUUUCUUGUAUUCUAUUUCUCUGAAAAUUGGCAACUGUGUGCCAUAAUGGAAUACAGAGGGACAGUCUCAAGCAUAGGAGCCAGACACCCUGGGGUCUACUGAUUCUUCAGUGCUAUAAAAUUAAAUUAGAUAAUAUUUAUGAGAUAAUAAUAUAUUAUCUGUAAAGUACCUAAUAUAAUGCCUGACAUUCAGUGAAUGUUGGUUUUCUUCUAUUUGGUUUUCUGGGACUGUAAAAAGGAAAAUUUUUUGAUGCCAAACAUGGAUAGAAACAUUUUAUUAUUAAUUUUAACUUUGGACAGGCAAAAGAAUGAAAGAAAUGUACCUUCCUACCGAUAGAUAGCCCAGAUCCCAAACUGCACUAGAAUUUCCAAAAUGUGAACCUGAUCUUGUAACAUUUUUCAUCCCACUUUUGUAUGUACUGCGUGAGGAUGGUUUUACCGUCACUUAUACCUUUAUUUCUAAACUGUCAAGAUAGCAACUUCCCAAUUAAGUUAUAUUUAUACAAGCACCUAAAGGGCUUUUUAUUACAUUAAAUUUUGGUUGAAUUAGAUGGAACCCUUUUAGAGGAAAUAGAUCAUCCUUAAAGCAAUAAGGAUGUUGACCUUAUGGGCACCUUCCUGAGAAUGAUGUUUCAUUAGUCCUGGAUCAGCUUUUGGGGGCUGCAAGACAGUCUGAGCUCUGGAAACUCUGAUCAGCAGCUCUCUCGCAUCCAUAUUCCACAGGCUCUGUGUCUGGUCCUAAUUUUACCUUCACGAUGGCUUACUUUUAUUUUCAUUUUUGGCCCUGUUACACAGACUGCUGCAUUGGAGACAGAAAGCAACAAGAAGGCAGGAGCCAGGCGCUGCCUCCAAUCUGAGCAUCCUACAUAGGUCGAGCCUUUCAAGAUGGAAAUGAUAAUGAAGCUGGCCACCACGGUCCAUUGUGAAAGAGGUCAUUGGGCCUUCAGGUCACAAAUGGAGCAGAAUAAAAAAUGAGAGGAGUGCCGUGAGAUGGGGGAGGGUAGGCAGAAAUUAUGAGACAGAAGGUUAGGCCCUUGGAUUCUCAGCCCACAAAUCCUGGCGAGGAGGCGAUGUGGGUACAUGAACUUUCCAGAGAUUGCUGGAGAAGAAAUCACCUGCUAAUCACUGCAUUCUGCUGGUUGGAUGUGGAAGGAAUAGGAUUUUCCUCAAACCUCAGUUUUUUGUUUUUCGUUUUUUUGUUUGUUUGUUUGUUUGUUUGUUUUUUAACCACAGAUACAUGUGGCAGCACCAGAGAAAACUGACGGUAACCAAUUGUCUCUGAGCUUUUGUUCAGGCCCCUUUUCUGCUGGGCGAGGCUACGCAAUUACUGGCGCCCAUAGAUGGCUGAUUGUCCAUGUGACACUAGGCUGACUUUGAUCUACAGACAUGAUAUCAUCGGCAGGGCGCGCCCAGUGCCAAACUACUGCAUUCUUUUGACCAAAACAGUGGUUUUGUGCAGCCUCACGGAUGCAGGCUAAAGAGCUUGAGAGCGGGCCUGUGUCUCCACAAACAGGGCCUGGCUCAAGAUUCGUUUCUUCCAAGACGCCCUCUUUCACGAACUCACCUCACUCAGCCGUUCCCUCCACCACAUCGGCUUAUUACUCAUCUGAUGCGCUUUGUUCGGCUCUGCCACGUGCUGUUGUGUUUUACCUCGUGAUCAUUCUCUACAUUUUUACUUUAUCCUUGAGCUAAAUUAAAACUGCCUUCAACGAAGGGCCUACCUACUAUUCUUUUUGUGUACUCCUAUAGCAUUUAAGUAGUUUCUUUUUUUUGUUGUUUUGUGUUGUUGUUGUUGUUGUUGUUGUC